GAUGAACGCUGGCGGCGUGCCUAAUACAUGCAAGUCGAACGCUGAAGGAGGAGCUUGCUUCUCCGGAUGAGUUGCGAACGGGUGAGUAACGCGUAGGUAACCUGCCUUGUAGCGGGGGAUAACUAUUGGAAACGAUAGCUAAUACCGCAUAACAGUAGAUAUCGCAUGAUAUCUGCUUGAAAGUUGCAAUUGCAUCGCUACCAGAUGGGCCUGCGUUGUAUUAGCUAGUUGGUGAGGUAACGGCUCACCAAGGCGACGAUACAUCGCCGACCUGAGAGGGGGGUCGGCCACACUGGGACGGAGACACGGCCCAGACGCCUACGGGAGGCAGCAGUAGGGAAUCUUGGGGAAUGGACGGAAGACUGACCGAGCAAGGCCGCGUGAGUGAAGAAGGUUUUCGGAUCGUAAAGCUCUGUUGUAAGGGAAGAACGAGUGUGAGAGUGGAAAGUUCACACUGUGACGGUAACUUACCAGAAAGGGACGGCUAACUACGUG
This 495-nucleotide ribosomal RNA is filed under the name uncultured bacterium. RNAcentral describes it as "partial 16S ribosomal RNA". It matches the Rfam family "Bacterial small subunit ribosomal RNA", at positions 28 to 507 of the family's 1533-position model. The record is from RNAcentral.